Molecule: ribosomal RNA, 459 nt
Filed under: uncultured bacterium
Lineage: Bacteria
Description: partial 16S ribosomal RNA
Rfam family: Bacterial small subunit ribosomal RNA
Source: RNAcentral
CCUACGGGUGGCAGCAGUGAGGAAUAUUGGUCAAUGGGCGCGAGCCUGAACCAGCCAAGUCGCGUGAGGGAAGACGGUCCUACGGAUUGUAAACCUCUUUUGUCGGGGAGCAAAAGACGCCACGCGUGGCUUUCCGAGAGUACCCGAAGAAAAAGCAUCGGCUAACUCCGUGCCAGCAGCCGCGGUAAUACGGAGGAUGCGAGCGUUAUCCGGAUUUAUUGGGUUUAAAGGGUGCGCAGGGGGACGAUAAAGUCAGCGGUAAAAUUGGGGGGCUCAACCUAAUAGUGCCGUUGAAACUGGUUUUCUUGAGUGCAUGUGAGGUAGGCGGAAUGCGUGGUGUAGCGGUGAAAUGCAUAGAUAUCACGAAGAACUCCGAUUGCGAAGGCAGCAUACCGGCGCUCAACUGACGCUGAUGCACGAAAGUGUGGGUAUCAAACAGGAUUAGAUACCCGGGUAGUC